GGGCGAGUAGCUCAGUUGGUUAGAGCGGCUGGUUUACACCCAGUAGGUCGCAGGUUCGAGUCCUGUCUCGCCCACCA
This 77-nucleotide transfer RNA is filed under the name Puniceicoccales bacterium. Its description in RNAcentral is "tRNA-Val". It matches the Rfam family "tRNA". From Rfam's summary of the family: Transfer RNA (tRNA) molecules are approximately 80 nucleotides in length. Their secondary structure includes four short double-helical elements and three loops (D, anti-codon, and T loops). Lineage: Bacteria; Pseudomonadati; Verrucomicrobiota; Opitutia; Puniceicoccales. The record is from RNAcentral.